AAUGAACGUUGGCGGUAUGGAUUAGGCAUGCAAGUCGAGCGGGUGUAGCAAUACACCAGCGGCGGAAGGGACAGUAAUGUGUAGAUACCAACCCUCGGGACGGGGAUAGCUGCGGGAAACUGCAGGUAAUACCCGAUAACGUCUAAGGACCAAAGGUGUGAUUCCACCUGAGGACGGGUCUGCAUCCUAUUAGCUAGUUGGCGGGGUAAUGGCCCACCAAGGCUGUGAUGGGUAGCGGGUGUGAGAGCACGACCCGCGUCACUGGGACUGAGAACUGCCCAGACACCUACGGGUGGCUGCAGUCGAGGAUUUUUGGCAAUGAGCGCAAGCUUGACCAAGCGAUACCGCGUGCGGGAUGAAGGCCUUCGGGUUGUAAACCGCUGUCAGUGGGGAGGAAGGUUUCGUGAAGAACGGAACUUGACUAAUCCGCAGAGGAAGUGAGGGCUAAGCUCGUGCCAGCCGCCGCCGUAAAAC
Molecule: ribosomal RNA, 474 nt
Filed under: uncultured bacterium
Lineage: Bacteria
Description: bacterial SSU rRNA
Rfam family: Bacterial small subunit ribosomal RNA
Source: RNAcentral